This 345-nucleotide unclassified non-coding RNA is filed under the name soil metagenome. RNAcentral's name for it is "partial contains 5.8S ribosomal RNA, internal transcribed spacer 2, and large subunit ribosomal RNA". The stretch from base 1 to 120 matches the Rfam family "5.8S ribosomal RNA", at positions 35 to 154 of the family's 154-position model. The record is from RNAcentral.
GAUGAAGAACGCAGUGAAAUGCGAUACGUAAUGUGAAUUGCAGAAUUCAGUGAAUCAUCGAGUCUUUGAACGCACAUUGCGCCCCCUGGUAUUCCGGGGGGCAUGCCUGUCCGAGCGUCAUUGCUGCCCUCAAGCACGGCUUGUGUGUUGGGCCUCCGUCCUCCUCCCGGGGGACGGGCCCGAAAGGCAGCGGCGGCACCGCGUCCGGUCCUCGAGCGUAUGGGGCUUCGUCACCCGCUCUUGUAGGCCCGGCCGGCGCUUGCCGACACAUCAAUCUUUUUUCCAGGUUGACCUCGGAUCAGGUAGGGAUACCCGCUGAACUUAAGCAUAUCAAUAAGUGGAGGA